RNAcentral lists this ribosomal RNA (495 nucleotides) under uncultured bacterium. Its description in RNAcentral is "partial 16S ribosomal RNA". It matches the Rfam family "Bacterial small subunit ribosomal RNA", at positions 28 to 507 of the family's 1533-position model. The record is from RNAcentral.
GAUGAACGCUGGCGGCGUGCCUAAUACAUGCAAGUAGAACGCUGAAGGAGGAGCUUGCUCUUCUGGAUGAGUUGCGAACGGGUGAGUAACGCGUAGGUAACCUGCCUGGUAGCGGGGGAUAACUAUUGGAAACGAUAGCUAAUACCGCAUGACAACAGUUAUUGCAUGAUAACUGUUUAAAAGGGGCAACUGCUCCACUACCAGAUGGACCUGCGUUGUAUUAGCUAGUUGGUGAGGUAACGGCUCACCAAGGCGACGAUACAUAGCCGACCUGAGAGGGUGAUCGGCCACACUGGGACUGAGACACGGCCCAGACUCCUACGGGAGGCAGCAGUAGGGAAUCUUCGGCAAUGGACGGAAGUCUGACCGAGCAACGCCGCGUGAGUGAAGAAGGUUUUCGGAUCGUAAAGCUCUGUUGUAAGAGAAGAACGAGUGUGGGAGUGGAAAGUUCACACUGUGACGGUAUCUUACCAGAAAGGGACGGCUAACUACGUG